GCGCCUGUAGCUCAGUGGAUAGAGCAGUGGCCUCCGGAGCCGCGUGCGUAGGUUCGAUUCCUAUCAGGCGCACGA
This 75-nucleotide transfer RNA is filed under the name [Clostridium] aminophilum. Its description in RNAcentral is "tRNA_Arg_CCG". It matches the Rfam family "tRNA". From Rfam's summary of the family: Transfer RNA (tRNA) molecules are approximately 80 nucleotides in length. Their secondary structure includes four short double-helical elements and three loops (D, anti-codon, and T loops). Lineage: Bacteria; Bacillati; Bacillota; Clostridia; Lachnospirales; Lachnospiraceae. The record is from RNAcentral.